Molecule: ribosomal RNA, 395 nt
Filed under: uncultured bacterium
Lineage: Bacteria
Description: partial 16S ribosomal RNA
Rfam family: Bacterial small subunit ribosomal RNA
Source: RNAcentral
AUACGUAGGGUGCAAGCGUUAAUCGGAAUUACUGGGCGUAAAGCGUGCGCAGGCGGUUUUGUAAGACAGAGGUGAAAUCCCCGGGCUCAACCUGGGAACUGCCUUUGUGACUGCAAAGCUAGAGUACGGCAGAGGGGGAUGGAAUUCCGCGUGUAGCAGUGAAAUGCGUAGAUAUGCGGAGGAACACCGAUGGCGAAGGCAAUCCCCGGGGCCUGUACUGACGCUCAUGCACGAAAGCGUGGGGAGCAAACAGGAUUAGAUCCCCUGGUAGUCCACGCCCUAAACGAUGUCAACUGGUUGUGGGGUCUUCAUUGACUCAGUAACGAAGCUAACGCGUGAAGUUGACCGCCUGGGGAGUACGGCCGCAAGGUUGAAACUCAAAGGAAUUGGCGGGG